This 485-nucleotide ribosomal RNA is filed under the name uncultured bacterium. Its description in RNAcentral is "partial 16S ribosomal RNA". It matches the Rfam family "Bacterial small subunit ribosomal RNA", at positions 27 to 507 of the family's 1533-position model. The record is from RNAcentral.
GAUUGAACGCUGGCGGCAGGCCUAACACAUGCAAGUCGAGCGGAUGAAGGGAGCUUGCUCCUGGAUUCAGCGGCGGACGGGUGAGUAAUGCCUAGGAAUCUGCCUGGUAGUGGGGGAUAACGUCCGGAAACGGGCGCUAAUACCGCAUACGUCCUGAGGGAGAAAGUGGGGGAUCUUCGGACCUCACGCUAUCAGAUGAGCCUAGGUCGGAUUAGCUAGUUGGUGGGGUAAAGGCCUACCAAGGCGACGAUCCGUAACUGGUCUGAGAGGAUGAUCAGUCACACUGGAACUGAGACGCGGUCCAGACUCCUACGGGAGGCAGCAGUGGGGAAUAUUGGACAAUGGGCGAAAGCCUGAUCCAGCCAUGCCGCGUGUGUGAAGAAGGUCUUCGGAUUGUAAAGCACUUUAAGUUGGGAGGAAGGGCAGUAAGUUAAUACCUUGCUGUUUUGACGUUACCAACAGAAUAAGCACCGGCUAACUUCGUG